RNAcentral lists this ribosomal RNA (486 nucleotides) under uncultured bacterium. Its description in RNAcentral is "partial 16S ribosomal RNA". It matches the Rfam family "Bacterial small subunit ribosomal RNA", at positions 29 to 507 of the family's 1533-position model. The record is from RNAcentral.
AUUGAACGCUGGCGGCAUGCCUUACACAUGCGAGUCGAACGGCAGCACGGGUGCUUGCACCUGGUGGCGAGUGGCGAACGGGUGAGUAAUACAUCGGAACACGUCCUGUAGUGGGGGAAAGCCCGGCGAAAGCCGGAUUAAUACCGCAUACGAUCUACGGAUGAAAGCGGGGGACCUUCGGGCCUCGCGCUAUAGGGUUGGCCGAUGGCUGAUUAGCUAGUUGGUGGGGUAGAGGCCUACCAAGGCGACGAUCAGUAGCUGGUCUGAGAGGACGACCAGCCACACUGGGACUGAGACACGGCCCAGACUCCUACGGGAGGCAGCAGUGGGGAAUUUUGGACAAUGGGCGAAAGCCUGAUCCAGCAAUGCCGCGUGUGUGAAGAAGGCCUUCGGGUUGUAAAGCACUUUUGUCCGGAAAGAAAUCCUUGGCCCUAAUACGGUCGGGGGAUGACGGUACCGGAAGAAUAAGCACCGGCUAACUACGUG